GACGUAGGUGGCGAACGUUAUCCGGAAUUAUUGGGCGUAAAGGGUGCGUAGGUGGCCUGGCAAGUUAUCAGUGGCAAAUCGAGGCUCAACCUCGUGGAAACUGGUAAUACUGUCCGGCUUGAGUGCAGGAGAGGUUAACGGAACUCUAUGUGGAGCGGUAAAAUGCACAGAUAUAUAGAAGAACAUCAAUAACGGCGAAGGCAGUUAACUAUUCUGUUUCUGACACUGAGGCACGAAAGCGUGGGGAGCAAAACGG
RNAcentral lists this ribosomal RNA (256 nucleotides) under uncultured prokaryote. Its description in RNAcentral is "partial 16S ribosomal RNA". It matches the Rfam family "Bacterial small subunit ribosomal RNA", at positions 524 to 776 of the family's 1533-position model. The record is from RNAcentral.